UGGGAGCAUGGCCUUCAGAAUAAGAUCCUUUCUGGGCACUCAGUCCAUUAAAUAGAAACUUGCCUUCGGCUUGGAUGCUGGUACUUUUGG
Molecule: long non-coding RNA, 90 nt
Filed under: Propithecus coquereli (Coquerel's sifaka)
Lineage: Eukaryota; Metazoa; Chordata; Mammalia; Primates; Indriidae
Description: MEST intronic transcript 1, antisense RNA conserved region 3 (ENSPCOG00000001889.1)
Rfam family: MEST intronic transcript 1, antisense RNA conserved region 3
Source: RNAcentral